GGGGUCCGGGUCCUUCCUCCGCCCCAAGCAGCCGGGGCGGUGCACCACCGGCCCCCGCUUCCUUCUCGGGGUUGGGAGGCACCGAGGGCCUCGAGGGGCUGCGGGACUCGGGCUUGGUGUGGAGGGCAAGAGCGCUGCGACGUGCGGACUGGAGAGUCAGCCUUUGGGCUGGAGACACGGGAGCGGGUGGCUACAGUGGUUUACGUUGUUGCACGGGGCGAGUAGAACCAGUGUCCAGGAAGAGGCCCAGAACAUACAUAUUCAGCACCAGAAAAGACUGGCACGCAAUUUUUCUUGACAAACUGGGUCUUGCUCUUUGAAGGGUGGGUGGGAAUGUGCUGUUUUUAUGAGAAUGUCAAAGAACUUCUCAGAAUCACAUUAAGCAUGCUAAUUACCAAAUAUUAAAUGCUAAUUGUUCCACACGCA
Long non-coding RNA from Homo sapiens (human), 426 nucleotides. Ensembl annotates it as EXOSC10 antisense RNA 1. Its record names the gene EXOSC10-AS1. NCBI's taxonomy places the organism in Eukaryota, Metazoa, Chordata, Mammalia, Primates, Hominidae. The record is from Ensembl.